UACGUAGGGGGCAAGCGUUGUCCGGAUUUAUUGGGCGUAAAGAGCGUGUAGGCGGCCAUGUAGGUCUGUUGUGAAAACUCGAGGCUCAACCUCGAGACGCCGAUGGAAACCACAUGGCUAGAGUCCGGAAGAGGAGAGUGGAAUUCCUGGUGUAGCGGUGAAAUGCGCAGAUAUCAGGAAGAACACCCGUGGCUAAGGCGGCUCUCUAGUACGGUACUGACGCUGAGGUGCGAAAGCGUGGGGAGCAAACAGG
Molecule: ribosomal RNA, 253 nt
Filed under: uncultured bacterium
Lineage: Bacteria
Description: partial 16S ribosomal RNA
Rfam family: Bacterial small subunit ribosomal RNA
Source: RNAcentral